UGAGGGAUCUUGCACAAUGGGGGCAACCCUGAUGCAGCGACGCCGCGUGGGCGAUGAAGGUCUUCGGAUCGUAAAGCCCUUUUCCAGGUGACGAGUAAGGACGGUAGCCUGGGAAGAAGUCUCGGCUAACUACGUGCCAGCAGCCGCGGUAAAACGUAGGAGGCGAGCGUUAUCCGGAGUUACUGGGCGUAAAGCGCAAGCAGGCGGUUGGGCAAGUUGGGUGUGAAAGCGUGCGGCUAAACUGCACGAGGCCAUUCAAGACUGCCCGGCUGGAGGACGGUAGAGGGGCGCAGAAUUCGGGGUGUGGCGGUGAAAUGUGUAGAGAUCCCGAGGAAUACCAGUGGGGAAGCCGGCGCCCUGGGCCGUACCUGACGCUGAGAUGCGAAAGCGUGGGGAGCGAACG
RNAcentral lists this ribosomal RNA (403 nucleotides) under uncultured bacterium. RNAcentral describes it as "bacterial SSU rRNA". It matches the Rfam family "Bacterial small subunit ribosomal RNA", at positions 355 to 774 of the family's 1533-position model. The record is from RNAcentral.